Molecule: long non-coding RNA, 6352 nt
Organism: Betta splendens (Siamese fighting fish)
Lineage: Eukaryota; Metazoa; Chordata; Actinopteri; Anabantiformes; Osphronemidae
Exons: 3
Source: RefSeq, a predicted model, not a curated record
AUAUCAGGUAGUUUAAAUAAAGCUGAAUGUGUACACCUGCUCUAAUGGGGAAUCAACAGUGUAAUGAACUCAUAAGUAAUAUGCAUAGAGCUGCUGUGGACACAGCAUCAGGAGUUUGACCUGUGAAUCAAACUGUUACUGAGCUCAAUCACUGAUCUACUGCAGCUGCAUCGUUGUCAUGGAGACGGUGCUCCAAAGGCAGGAACCUCCACAGAUCAGCUUAGUCAGUUGUAGUGAAACUGAUUCCACCCCAGCUUAACAGGCUUGUUACACACAUACUGUAACUUCACUUUAUAAAUCCUAAGGCUUCAUUGAGCAACUCGUGUGAGCUUUAUGUUUGAGGAGUGACAAUCGUGGCCACAGUCACAAUUUAAAAAUGCCAGUCCUCUGCGACUCUCCACAGAAGUCUACGAAACAUGUCAGACUUGGGCAGGCGUCGGACCCACAUGCACAGCACAAAGGCAGGGUGAGGAUUAAUACAGGCUUUAUUUCAGCAAGCAGAGUGUAAUGGAAAAAUUUUACCUUAGUGCUGUUUCUUAUCCAACACACUCGUCAUGUGCUGGUUAGGUGCAAUACUGAACUGAACAUUCUUACACAAACAACUAAUCUCUUGUGCUGUCGUACAUCAAGUCUAAACAUCUGAUGUUCCAUUUGACUGACUAAUAAUUUAUGAUAUAUGUUUGUCUUUUACACCCGGACUCUGGCUCCAUCCUAUCUGACUCCCCACCAGACCCAAGGCUGUUAAAGCCAAUGCAUCUUGUCUUGGAAGCUCGGUGUUCCUUCCUUUGGAUAACAAGACAUGACGAUGCAGAAGUGAGAAAGCAAACAUUCUCACUCACAGUGAGAUAAGGUGGCACAAACAAUUCCAUUGCUGCAGAGAGACAUUCCACCAGAGCCAGAGAAAGGGGUUAAAAGGCAGAAGCAACUUGAGGAUCGUGGGCUCUUUGCAUCACACCUUCGUGGUGUGUGCACUGAUCUCCAGCUGGUUUUUGGUUUGUUGAUGUGCACGAUCAACAUCCAUGCUUUUGAUUUGCUUUCCCCAUUAUUUUUAUUUUCUUUAUUAUUUCAAUAAAUUGCACAAAAGGACAACUCUCUCAUCUGCUUCUUUAUGGAAAAUUUCCACCACAGUUUUGGCGUCUACGAACAGGAUCCGCUGCAGGUCGUCUGGACGGCGUGACCAGGGACGAUAGUCCUGAGGACUAGGGUCGCUCAGCCUCCGAACCUCUACAGCUGUUCUGAGUGGGAGGACUGCUCACCCGUCUGGAUCGCCUCUGACGAGAUCCAACGAACUCAAAAUCCAACCUCUACUCGGCCCGGUGAGAGAGAUUCCGUUUUGUCGCGACUUAUCGAAGAAAAAAAAAAAAAGAAAGAAAACUGGUUUGAAAUUGGUUUCAGGUAUUCGAGUUUACUUGGCUCUGAUCAUUUGGUUUAGGGAAAGUAAGGCAAAUAACAAUUAAUUCUAAAACAUCCCCUACUAGACUAAAACAACGACAAAAGAAAAUAUAACUAGGACUAGAGAUGAUAAUAUUUCUAAAACGACUAUUUGGCUGAAAACAUCCAAAAUAUAAUAUUAGGGAAAAGAAAAAAAAAUAAAUAAAUAAUUAUAAUUUUAAAUUUAAUAUUCGGGUAAAAAAUUAAUUAGGUCAAAGUCUGCCCUGGUGGCCGAGACGGUGGUUGCUAAGGGUUGGCUCGUGGGACCGAGCUUGUUUUGUCUGUACUGAGGAUACAGACCAGUGUGCAGAUCUGAGCGCAGUCCAAAGGGUGUGGACAAGAAAUAAAAGACGGCUUCUGAAAUACGGAGCGCGUUUGCAGGGGGAAGUGGUUUUGAGAUACGAGGGACCCGGGUCUUAGAGGGGCCUGACGGUGAGGGACCACUUCCGAGAACCCUGUCGCUGAUCUGAGCGGUUCCCUUUCUACGGAGACGUCCGUGGAAGAGAAAUUUAGGAAAAAGGUUCCGGCCGGAACACAUAAAAGUCUAAGGCAGAAAACCGCCGGGACUCUGAAAGAUGGGUUCGGGGCGAUCUAAGUCUCCACCACCAGACUGCAGCAUUACAAAAUUAAAAGUAAUUAUAAAAGUAAAAAGUAAAUAUGGUUAUUAGUGCGUUUCAUGUUUCCAUGAGUGGGAAACUGGUUAUGGGUUCAAAAGGAGAAUCACUUAGUGUAAAAGACAUAUGCACCUUAAAAAGAAAAGUUAGAUACAAAAGAUGAGAUUUGAAAAAGCAAAACUAUGAAAACUAAAGCCCUAAAAGAAACAAAAGAGUGAUGUGAGUAACAGAAAAAAAGGAGAAAACAACUCUGGGGAAGAAUUGUUUGCACUCUGCCACACACACACACACAGACCACACACACACACACAAACACACACAUCAUGUCAAGAGCAAAUGCUCCCAUUGUUUCUGCUCUCUAUCCUAAUGCAGAACUGAGCGCGAUGAGGGUAAAUCCGGAUCUGGACUCCUUUCCCACCAUCAGCAGAAGAACCGAAGGAGAAGAAGCGCCGACCAACAACCAGAACAGGGUGGAAGCUCUGACACCACAGCAGCUGGAGGCCACAGACCACAGCAUGGACGCCUCACAGACUCCACAACGUCUGCAGCCAUCACGUUCUGGGCUCAUCAGAUGAACCAGCUACUACAAGCGUGUGUGUCUGACACAGACACCUGCUUAUGACAAUCAGCAAAGGAAAACAAGGACAAAGCAACAGCAGAGAAGACGUGCUCUGACACAGACACUGGUUGAAACAACAGGAGAGGCUUCAGACGUGAUCGGCCCAAUAGAGCUGCAUGCGAGGAUCCAGGAAAGGUCUGUCAUCGAGGAACAACUGUCCCAUUGAAAGGCUUCACCCACUGGUGCUCACAUCAGACUGAUGGUUGGGGAAGGAGGAAGGUGAUGGUUCCUUUUCACGUGACGUACAAGACGUUCCACACGUCCCUCUGUGAAAACAUGAUGGAGACAGACGCAGGACGUGGGUCCUUUCGUGAACAGAUGUCAACGGGGUGGAGACUGGUGAACGACUUCUGACCCCAUGUGACGUAUUUACCUACUUUGCAUACUUUUAGAAAACUUUUUUUUAUUCUGCCCGUUAUGUGCAGCAAACAGUGAACUUGGUUCCUCCACAUUCUAAUGACACACUACAUGCUUUUAUUUUCAUUUCAGAGGACGCUCUGAUCCAACACUCAGCCUUAGGAUGUGAACCAGUGGUCAUCACACCUAAAUCUGACCACAGACCAUGUAAACAACAACACCCUCUUAAAGGAGCCAUAGAUGGCGUUACUGCAGACACCACUAAGCUACUGAAACAUUGGAUGCUACAGGCCACAAAGAGAGCCUGUCUAAAUUACAGUUUGUUCAGACCAAGGUUAUUUUCUGGGUCAUUGUAAUUACAGCUGAUGGCAAAUCCAUCUCACCCAACAGAGUUGAAGCAUUUUUAAACCUGCCUAAACCGUGCACGUAUAAACAGCUGAUGUCUUUUCUAGGUCUUUGUUCUUAUUGUAGGACCUUCAGUCCUAACUUUACUGUCUUUGAGGCCCCACUCAGGGUUCUGAUGCAGACGUCUUCAUCGUCCACUUCUUGUCUCACGUGGACGUCUGAGGCUGAACAACGUUCACUAACCUCAUGCUUGCUCUUCAGACGGCUCCUACUUUGGGUCUUCCUGAUCUGACCCUACGCGACCUUUCACUCAAACAGUGGAUGAGAGAUCAGGUUGUACGACUUCUGUUCUUUUGUCCUCAUACUGUUUUUGAUUCUUUUGGAAUAGAUCACAUCUUUCUACAGCUCGAUGGCUUGGAUACAACACCACCUUGCUCAACAUGCUGAACAUUACUAUCAAGAGUCCGUCUUGAAGUCUGGCUCUUUGCUAAGACACUACUCUGCUCAGGCUGCAGAGUUGACCGCGUUGACUGAAGCUAUUAAACUAGCAGAAGGAGAGACUGUUACCAUCUACAGACUCCACAGAUGCUCUGUGGAAGCAUAGGAAGCUUUUGAAGUCUGAUUGCAAACCUAUCUUACAUCAUGAUUAGGUUCUGCUUUGCUGGACGCUGUCCUGCUACAGUACCUACAGCUAAUGCUGUUUGUAACUGUCCAACAUCAGUGACGACUUUGUUUCUGCCGACAUGCAGCUGCAGACGCUGCUGCGAAGGUCGCUGCCCAACAACCCCUCCCUCUCCUGAUCCUUGUUCCCUCUCUCCAACUCUCUCUACCCUUCCUUCCUCAUCUCCCCCUUGUGCUUUAAACAUUUUGUACCUCACAGGAACGCAGACUCUGGCUGACGAAUGGUUCCACCUGUAGCCAUGGAGUCUGGUUUGGGCCUGAUGGCAGCCGUGCCGCCCAAACACUUUUUCCCCACAAUUCAGAUUUCCCAACAGGUGAAAACAGUCGACAGGACCAUUACACCAUCCAACCAGGGCACUGGGCGAUUGUUAAGGACUUCAGGAGGAAGCACUGGGACUCCAAACGGUGGCGAGGCCCCUUCCAGGUCCUUCUGACGACCAACACGGCUGUAAAGAUCGCAGAGAGAGCGACUUGGAUCCACUCCAUCCAGGAAGGUCCCGGAUCCAACAGACGACCCUACAUCUACAUCCCACGAAGAAAACCACCACUAACGAAAAGAAUUGAGAAGGACGACCCUCGCUGUGCUCACACACGCACUGAGGCGAGGCUGCGUUGACCGUUCAGCUAAAGGUGUGAGCCAAGCGCCGCCUGAAGCUGCGCCGGUGAAUCACACUAUCAGACCAUACAUCUACACACAUGCUCCUGAGAAAACACACACACGAGCAGCCUUGAGUUGCCAACGCUGGACGACGUGUAGACUCUUCACAUCACGGGAGUGACAGUGACUCAGACGACAUUGGGAGGAAACCUGGCGGUGAUAACGAAUCCCAAGUGUCUCUGUGAUCAGCUGAUCACAACCUGAAGAACUCCAACGAACUGUCAAUACUUCAACACACAGAUGAAAGACAACACAAGCGGCAAUAUGCAUCAUCAUUCUGGUUAAAUCCCUGAAUCUCCUAUUCGCUCUAGACGCAAAUGUACAAUUAAAGAUCCGAAAGCAUGAAAUCUAUCUUAAGAUUAUAUGAUACAGAACCCCACCGGAAACCUAUGGCUAUUAUACAUUAAUUGUAUUUAUUACAUUACAAUUGAAUGGCCAUAGACACGUUGUUAGCAGAGAAAAGAGGCGUUUGUGUUAUGUUCGGAGAGGCAUGUUGUACUUACAUCCUGAAUAACACUGAUUCUAAUGGUAUUGUGGCGAAGGCGCUCCACGGCCUUCAGAAUCUCAGCUAACUCUGGUAUAGGUUCUUCCUCUUGGAAUUGGCUAGACGAAAUGUCUGUAAAAUGGAAAUCUGUUCUCAUGUCCGCAGCUGUUUCCUUUAUCAUUGAGAUGGCUGUGAUUCUCUUGUUUGGUUUUUGCAUUAUCCCACUGGUUAGAGGUCUCAUCAUGCGUGUGACCUCAGCAACACUCUCGUAUCAAAUGACACAAUGCACUAUGUUCAAAAACCCCAACUCUAACUCACUUAAUGACUUUGACGAUGGUAUGGGCUCAUUUUCUUCACAUGCCGAUACAGAGGUUAUUCUUGUUUAACUACCCACCAAAACAGCUCCCAACCUUUUAUCCCUAAGUUACUUGCAUUUUUAUGUGAAGGUGUAUUUUUGAAUUUUGACUUAAUACACUCACUGUUUCAUUUGUAAGGGUUGUUACUACAAAAUGCAAUGUUUGAAAAAUUUUAUUAUUUUAGUGUUUGAUUAAUGUGUAAUCAAAAGGGGGGAAUGUAAUGGAAAAAUUUUACCUUAGUGCUGUUUCUUAUCCAACACACUCGUCAUGUGCUGGUUAGGUGCAAUACUGAACUGAACAUUCUUACACAAACAACUAAUCUCUUGUUCCCUGUCGUACAUCAAGUCUAAACAUCUGAUGUUCCAUUUGACUGACUAAUAAUUUAUGAUAUAUGUUUGUCUUUAACACCCGGACUCUGACUCCAUCCUAUCUGACUCCCCACCAGACUCAAGGCUGAUAAAGCGAAUGCAUCUUGUCUUGGAAGCUCGGUGUUCCUUCCUUUGGAUAACAAGACAUGACGAUGCAGAAGUGAGAAGGCAAACAUUCUCACUCACAGCAAGAUAAGGUGGCACAAACAAUUCCAUUGCUGCAGAGAGACAUUCCAUCAGAGCCAGAGAAAGGGGUUAAAAGGCAGAAGCAACUUGAGGAUCGUGGGCUCUUUGCAUCACACCUUCGUGGUGUGUGCACUGAUCUCCCCAGCUGGUUUUUGGUUUGUUGAUGUGCACGAUCAACAUCCAUGCUUUUUAUUUGCUUUCCCCAUUAUUUUUUAUUUUCUUUAUUAUUUCAAUAAAUUGCACAAAAGGACAA